RNAcentral lists this ribosomal RNA (465 nucleotides) under uncultured bacterium. RNAcentral describes it as "partial 16S ribosomal RNA". It matches the Rfam family "Bacterial small subunit ribosomal RNA", at positions 355 to 812 of the family's 1533-position model. The record is from RNAcentral.
UGGGGAAUUUUGGACAAUGGGGGCAACCCUGAUCCAGCAAUGCCGCGUGUGUGAAGAAGGCCUUCGGGUUGUAAAGCACUUUUGUCCGGAAAGAAAACGUCGUGGUUAAUACCCGUGGCGGCUGACGGUACCGGAAGAAUAAGCACCGGCUAACUACGUGCCAGCAGCCGCGGUAAUACGUAGGGUGCAAGCGUUAAUCGGAAUUACUGGGCGUAAAGCGUGCGCAGGCGGUCCGCUAAGACAGAUGUGAAAUCCCCGGGCUUAACCUGGGAACUGCAUUUGUGACUGGCGGGCUAGAGUAUGGCAGAGGGGGUAGAAUUCCACGUGUAGCAGUGAAAUGCGUAGAGAUGUGGAGGAAUACCGAUGGCGAAGGCAGCCCCCUGGGCCAAUACUGACGCUCAUGCACGAAAGCGUGGGGAGCAAACAGGAUUCAGAUACCCUGGUAGUCCACGCCCUAAACGAUGU